Molecule: long non-coding RNA, 565 nt
Organism: Triticum dicoccoides
Lineage: Eukaryota; Viridiplantae; Streptophyta; Magnoliopsida; Poales; Poaceae
Exons: 3
Source: RefSeq, a predicted model, not a curated record
UGUACUCGAUGCCCAAUGGAGUGCAGGAGCAAAAUGUCGAGGGAGAGGCGAGCGGGGGUGAGAGUGGCGAGUGGCCCUCGAAUGCAGAGGAGGACGAGGAGAGCGACGACCCGAGUGACGAAGAAGAGGUCGACUCGCCUCCUCGCAGAGAAAGGAGGUCCAAGCAUGCUCACGACCCGGCAAGCAACCCCGACCUGAUGGCCGCACCGACUGGGCAGUCUUGAAAGCGCCCUCGGACGUCUUCUCCAGUGCCGACUGAGAAGGGACCGAAACAGCUCAAGACUGCGCUGCCUCCUGCGCCGAAACCAUUGAAGGCCACAUCCUCCAAACCGUCGAAGGCUUUGCCCAGAAUCAAAGUGACCAUUCCCACCAUCUCCAGUGCUGCUACCUCUGGAACUUCUUCCCGCCAAUACCGAUACGAGGAAAUGGAAGACGCGGUUACCUCCAACCCAGCCCCACCCAAGGUUAUUGAGCUUCCGGAUGAUGAUGAAGAUGUGGCCCCGAGGCCCAGAAAGAACAAAAAAGUAGCGGCUGGCAAGACAUCUCAGCCGGGACUGAUGACAGA